Molecule: long non-coding RNA, 689 nt
Organism: Lagopus leucura (white-tailed ptarmigan)
Lineage: Eukaryota; Metazoa; Chordata; Aves; Galliformes; Phasianidae
Exons: 4
Source: RefSeq, a predicted model, not a curated record
CCCUUCCCAGAUCUCAUUUAAAGGUUUUCAGUAGAGGCAAGGGUGUCUUGCUGGAGAUCCCUGCCUACCUGAGAUCUUCUGAAGAUUUAUUAUUAUGCAGAUGCACAGACAACUCACACUGCUUAUCCAGAGGGCCUAGAGGUGCUGCAGUUCCCUAAUAAUCAGAUAGAAAAGCAUUAUCCUGAUGGCACACAAGAAAUUGUGUUCCCUGAUCACACAGUGAAAUGCCUCUACAGUGAUGGAUUCGAGGAAACUUUUUUCCCAGAUGGUACAAUAGUAAAAGUAGAAAAGAACGGUGAUAAACUAGUGGUAUUCAGUAAUGGCCAGAAGGAGUUUCACACUGCACAGUUCAAGAGGAGGGAAUACCCAGAUGGAACCAUAAAGACUGUGUACUGCAAUGGCAGGCAAGAAACCAAGUAUUUGUCUGGACGGGUUCGAAUCAAAGAUGAAGAGGGUAAUAUCAUUCUAGAUAAGAAGUGAUUCCUCCUCUCAGUGGCUGCACUGAGUAAGUGGCUCAACAAAUUUUGUCUGUAUGAUUUAGUCUCUCCUCUGGACACGUGUGCCGGUUUAAAAGAUUCUUUACUGAUGCCUCUAAUGCUUUUCUGUUGCUGUUAAUUAUUAAGAUUAGAACAUGUGAAGCAGUGAAAACCACUACUUCUAAUGAAAUAAAUUAAGGAUAAUACUCUCAA